GAAAAUUAGGGCUCUAUCCUGCUUUGCUGUACACGUAAGCUGUGCUGUCGUGAGCGAGUUGCUUUGUUUCUGGACCUGUUUCCAUGUUUGUAAAAUGGAGAUGAUAGUUCCCACGUCCUUGUAGGAUAGGAGAACUACAUAACAAAAUGAAUGCAAAGGGCUUAGCUCAAGGCCGAGGAAGCACACAGUAGGAGCUUACUCACCGUUUAAUAAUAACAGCAACAUUCUGUCAUUUGUAUCGAGUUGUACAGGUUUUCAAAGCAGCUGCCAGGGCCAAAAGGAAGUUCCUGGGGAGAGGAACCGGGACCCCCACACCCGCCCCGGGAUCACAGGGGCAGAGGCAAGGGCCCGCAGGCUUUGAGACCAAACAACUUGGAGGGGGCUGGGCCCGCCAAGAACACACCACCCCGCCCCCUCCCCGGCCCAAGCGCUGGGUUCCCGGGGUCCCGCCAGCACUCAGGACUACCUCCCUUGUCUCCGGGCCCAGGGAAAGGCUUCAGGAUCCCCAAAGGCUACAGAUCAGGCUACGGCUUCCCCAGUGGCCUUGGAGCAGGAUUUGGGAACGGGAAUGGGCUGGGAGCCCAGCCAGGCACUGGGGGGGGUGUGAAACCCCAGAAGCCAGGGUUUGGAAACGGGCUGGCAAUGGGGACCUUCCCAGGUGCUGUCGCCCAGCCAGGUUUUGGAGGGGGUGUGAGACCCCAGAAGCCAGGCCCUGUGGCUCAGAAUGGUGGCCAGGCACCAGGUACGGGCUGGGGGC
RNAcentral lists this long non-coding RNA (757 nucleotides) under Neogale vison (American mink). Its description in RNAcentral is "Neovison vison (American mink) lncRNA (ENSNVIG00000023262.1)". Lineage: Eukaryota; Metazoa; Chordata; Mammalia; Carnivora; Mustelidae. The record is from RNAcentral.